GAAGGUCUCUUGGCCUGAAAGGAAUCCAAAGAGCUUUCCAAAGAGUAAUGGAGAAAACUUACUUCCGAAAUCACUAAGCUUGAUCCAGUCUGCAAUUCCUUCACUGAUCAAUUUGUUUGAUGAACAUGCACUUGAUACCUACUGUGCUAAACACUGGGAAGAAGCCUGAGUGAGGAGCAGAUCUUUCUUGAAGGCCGCAUUGUGCAUCUCCAGCUCUCACCUCAUACUACUUGGGAUACUGGGAAGUGACAAUGGAACUGGAGAUCAGCUGAGGACUCCAUCCUCUAGAUCAUUUCCUGAGUGUCCACCAUGUGCUUUGCCCUGGGGAACAGAUCUUAUUCUUUCUUGAUUCUUCUCUCUCUCUCUCUCCCCUUUCUGGUGUAAUGAUUGAAGCAAUGAUAAAUUAACUAUAUUCCUUGACUUACUAUAAGUUUACAUCCUGAUCAACCUAGCACAUGUCAAAACUGCAGUAAGUUGAACGUCUGGUGGUGAAUAUUCUGAACCUACUGAACAUCAUAACUUAACAACACAGAGCACUGCAGAGUACUGACUGCUGAUGCUGGGGAAGAAUAGUCCACUGGGAGCUGUGGCUGGAUGUCUACUGCCUUCACAAUGCUGUAACACCGAAAAGGCUUAAGUCAAACCAUCAUCAUAUGCAAUCUGGCUAACUGAGUCCGGAUUAAUGAAGUCUGGAUAUAACUGUUAAUUAGAAAAAGUUAAGAAAGCAUGUGUGGAGGGUGUACACUGUGAAAACACACUCUCUGGUAGACAGUCUAGUUAGGAUCCUUAAACCCAUGACAAUGUGUGAGGCAUAAUAAGUUGACCGUGGUCACCCUGGUUGGCUUCUUUAUUUAAUUAUAAUUAAUUAUUAUUAGAGCU
RNAcentral lists this long non-coding RNA (879 nucleotides) under Mus pahari (shrew mouse). RNAcentral describes it as "par-3 family cell polarity regulator beta, opposite strand 3 (MGP_PahariEiJ_G0003598.1)". The record is from RNAcentral. Lineage: Eukaryota; Metazoa; Chordata; Mammalia; Rodentia; Muridae.